GUACCUAUAGCUCGUGCUAGGGUUAACUUAAUGAUCGAGAGUAGGCUAUAGCUUCUUUGUGGGACGUAGCUUAUAUACAUGGUGCUCAUAGUACUUUUUUAUUGAGCUGAUGCUUUACUUAUACAUAAGUAGUAUAUUAAUUAAACAACUACCUGGUGACAGCUUAGUUUCGUGGAUUAGUUUAGUUUUGACUAUCGUAGAAUUGAUUCGACAUGGAUGCUGUGCCCACACCUCGGGAUAACCACAACCACACCCUAAAGAAAACAACUCAUUAGGGCAUGUGUUGAGAACCAGCGCCGAAUUGUCGUCGAAACACCCCCUCCAUAUAUGAAGAAGGGGGCUUGGCGAGUAAGGCAGGUAUGAUAAAAGGAUUUUGCAUUGGCAUCACUGAUCAGAUGCGUGUGUCAACAUUUUCUCUUUGGUCAGUAUGGGAUUUGUUCUUAAUUAAGCCUUACUAAUCUGAGCUCAUCGACUCCUAAAUAACUUGAAAAGUCUUCAAUUUCAGUGAAAAUAUAAAUCUAUCUAAUUAUAUAGUUGUAUAUAGUUUGCAAGGGGCCAACUACUAUCUCAUACAUCUCCACCACAUCCCUCAUAAAACCUCAUAUCACCAAAAAAAAUUAUUGCUGCUACCAGCCUACCACAUCAGCCAACUCCUACCAGUGUUGCACUCCCCUUAUCCUCUAGCCAAGGAUAAUUUCUACAUUGUAAUCAUGCUCUACCUCCCUG
RNAcentral lists this long non-coding RNA (726 nucleotides) under Setaria viridis. RNAcentral describes it as "long non-coding RNA (SVIR_LNC001328)". Lineage: Eukaryota; Viridiplantae; Streptophyta; Magnoliopsida; Poales; Poaceae. The record is from RNAcentral.